CAGGGCGGACUGAUCAGCCAUGCCGCGUGUGUGAGAAGGCCUUUUGGUUGUAAAGCACUUUAAGCGAGGAGGAGGCUCCUUUAGUUAAUACCUAAAGAGAGUGGACGUUACUCGCAGAAUAAGCACCGGCUAACUCAGUGCCAGCACCCGCGGUAAAUG
RNAcentral lists this ribosomal RNA (159 nucleotides) under uncultured bacterium. RNAcentral's name for it is "partial 16S ribosomal RNA". It matches the Rfam family "Bacterial small subunit ribosomal RNA", at positions 378 to 526 of the family's 1533-position model. The record is from RNAcentral.